CCCUUAGACGUUCUGGGCCGCACGCGCGCUACACUGAUUCAUGCAACAAGUUUUGUCCUUGGCUGAUAGGCCUGGGUAAUCUUUGAACGUGAAUCGUGAUGGGGAUAGAUGAUUGCAAUUAUUCAUCUUCAACGAGGAAUUCCUAGUAAACGCAAGUCAUCAGCUUGCAUUGAUUACGUCCCUGCCCUUUGUACACACCGCCCGUCGCACCUACCGAUUGAAUGGUCCGGUGAAAUCUUCGGAUCUGAGAGAUGUCUGAUUAAUUUCGGACGCCUUUUGGAAAAGUUGCUUAAACCUUACCAUUUAGAGGAAGGUGAAGUCGUAACA
Molecule: ribosomal RNA, 327 nt
Filed under: uncultured eukaryote
Lineage: Eukaryota
Description: partial 18S ribosomal RNA
Rfam family: Eukaryotic small subunit ribosomal RNA
Source: RNAcentral